UUGGGCAAUCGCGUAAUAAGGUGCCGAAAGGUAUUAUUAUGAGGAAAGUCCGGGCUUCACAGGGAAAGGAUAACGGAUAACGUCCGCCGUAGGUGACUACCGGGAAAGUGCAACAGAAAUAAACCGCCGGCGUAAUAUGCCGGUAAGGAUGGAAAGGCGAGGUAAGAGCUCACCGGCUGGCUGGUAACAGUUCAGCAAAUGUAAACCCUAUCCGAAGCAACACCGUUGCGGGAGAUUCCCUGACGCAUGAUCGCAAUCGCGGCCAUGCCCCGCAUGGGUGGCACCGCCGAAAGGUGGAAGGAACGUGGUGACACGUUUCGCAGAUAGAUGAUUGCCCUCGACAGAACCCGGCUUACAGAUUCGGUCU
Molecule: RNase P RNA, 367 nt
Filed under: human gut metagenome
Description: Bacterial RNase P class A
Rfam family: Bacterial RNase P class A
About the family: Ribonuclease P (RNase P) is a ubiquitous endoribonuclease, found in archaea, bacteria and eukarya as well as chloroplasts and mitochondria. Its best characterised activity is the generation of mature 5'-ends of tRNAs by cleaving the 5'-leader elements of precursor-tRNAs.
Source: RNAcentral